ACCGAGGUGGUUCAAUGGUAGCACGUCUGCUUAUAGUCACGCCUCGUAUGAGGAGCCCUUCGGGGCUCAGCAGCGAUCCAGGUUCGAGUCCUGGCCUUGGUC
Molecule: transfer RNA, 102 nt
Filed under: Penicillium solitum
Lineage: Eukaryota; Fungi; Ascomycota; Eurotiomycetes; Eurotiales; Aspergillaceae
Rfam family: tRNA
About the family: Transfer RNA (tRNA) molecules are approximately 80 nucleotides in length. Their secondary structure includes four short double-helical elements and three loops (D, anti-codon, and T loops). Further hydrogen bonds mediate the characteristic L-shaped molecular structure. tRNAs have two regions of fundamental functional importance: the anti-codon, which is responsible for specific mRNA codon recognition, and the 3' end, to which the tRNAs corresponding amino acid is attached (by aminoacyl-tRNA synthetases). tRNAs cope with the degeneracy of the genetic code in two manners: having more than one tRNA (with a specific anti-codon) for a particular amino acid; and 'wobble' base-pairing, i.e. permitting non-standard base-pairing at the 3rd anti-codon position.
Source: Rfam by way of RNAcentral